Molecule: unclassified non-coding RNA, 373 nt
Filed under: uncultured Sphingobacteriales bacterium
Lineage: Bacteria; Pseudomonadati; Bacteroidota; Sphingobacteriia; Sphingobacteriales
Description: contains 16S-23S intergenic spacer region
Source: RNAcentral
UCCGCGCUUACGCGGGCAGUCUCAUUAGAGUCCUCAGCAUUACCUGUUAGCAACUAAUGAUAGGGGUUGCGCUCGUUACGGGACUUAACCCAACACCUCACGGCACGAGCUGACGACAGCCAUGCAGCACCUAGUUUCGUGUCCUUUCGGCCUUUCGCUUUUCUGCGAAAUUCACUAACUUUCAAGCCCAGGUAAGGUUCCUCGCGUAUCAUCGAAUUAAACCACAUGCUCCUCCGCUUGUGCGGGCCCCCGUCAAUUCCUUUGAGUUUCAAUCUUGCGACCGUACUCCCCAGGUGGAUUACUUAAUGCUUUCGCUUAGACGCGUACAGUGUAUCGCACACAUCGAGUAAUCAUCGUUUAGGGCGUGGACUAC